CAGCAGCCGCGGUAAUACAGAGGGUGCGACCGUUAAUCGGAUUUACUGGGCGUAAAGCGUGCGUAGGCGGCUUCUUAAGUCGGAUGUGAAAUCCCUGAGCUUAACUUAGGAAUUGCAUUCGAUACUGGGAAGCUAGAGUAUGGGAGAGGAUGGUAGAAUUCCAGGUGUAGCGGUGAAAUGCGUAGAGAUCUGGAGGAAUACCGAUGGCGAAGGCAGCCAUCUGGCCUAAUACUGACGCUGAGGUACGAAAGCAUGGGGAGCAAACAGGAUUAGAUACCCCCGUAGUCCCUGUCUCUUAUAA
This 301-nucleotide ribosomal RNA is filed under the name uncultured bacterium. Its description in RNAcentral is "partial 16S ribosomal RNA". It matches the Rfam family "Bacterial small subunit ribosomal RNA", at positions 509 to 809 of the family's 1533-position model. The record is from RNAcentral.